Molecule: non-coding RNA, 1175 nt
Organism: Hydra vulgaris (swiftwater hydra)
Lineage: Eukaryota; Metazoa; Cnidaria; Hydrozoa; Anthoathecata; Hydridae
Source: RefSeq, a predicted model, not a curated record
CUUAACUAAAUAUAAAUUAAAAAAUGAAAAAACUAAAUAUAGUUGCUGGUCCUUUAAUUAUUUAAAAACCUUAGCAUAGUGCAAAAUGCAGUAGAGAGCUUUUAUAGUUAUUUUUAAACAACAGAAGUGAAAUUUAUAUGUUUGUCUACUGAACAGUAAUUUUUUGUGAAGUUACAUAAAAUUAAAAGCAAGAAAAAGUAUUGAAGUCAAACAUGUUAACCAAAUAAAAAAGAGAGCAAAAUAUAUUUAAAGUUUAACUUCUAUGAUUUAACAUUUGUAUUUGACAGGUUUCCAUAAUAUCAUUUACUUAAAUGUGACACUAUGUUCAAGUUUUUUACCACCGGAUACCAUUCCUGGCAUUAAUCUGUUUUUGCGAUAAGUAUAUAGUAAUUGUUGUGGUUCUCCCACAAAAAAGAUUACCAUCCAAAGUUAAAUAGCUCCUCGUAUCUAUAUCCACAAUUAAGUUAAGGAUUUUAAACAAUAUUGUUUAUUUUCACCUACACAUUAAGUAAAGAUUUUUAAACUUUUAUAGAGUUAAAAGAAGAUGUUGUUUAUAGGUAAUUUUCCUGAUAAUAAUAUUUUAUGUUUAGAUAUAUAAGUAAUUAUAAUAAAAAUGUAAAGCAUCAGACACAAUCAGAAUUUUAAUUGCUUUGCAAAAGUUGUUGUUGAGACUCCUGUAAUGACUGAGUCAUCAGAUAGGAAGGAAUAAUGCUGAUAUCUUAUCGUAUUUUUUGCAAAUAACCAAUAUUACAAAUUUCACAAAGAACUGAUGGUCAUGUUUGCAGGAACACAGUUAAAAGUACAUGUGGUCAUGACCCAGACAUGCCUUCACAAACCUGAAUAAAAAAAGUAUUGAAAUUUCAAAUAGAAAGCCCUAAAAAGUUUAGCGGACUGUACUUGGUUACCUUCUUGUGGUGCUUACAUUAUAACUGAUUUUAAAAAGUAACUUCGUAACUGAUGUUUUUUAUGUGAUUAACUAAAAGCCGAUACAAAGUAUUAAAUACGCAAAUAAAUUCUUUAAAUUGUUAUCAAUGAGUACAUAAUUAUUAUAUAUAUAAAUUAACAUUACUUAAAUUGCAAGAACCCGUUUUACUGAUCACAUUUAAUAUUUAUUUAUUAUAGUAUAAUCGCAUUUCUGGUUUACAUGAUUUAGAAUAAAUUUAAAAAAUUAUUAA